UACGUAGGAGGCAAGCGUUGUCCGGAAUUAUUGGGCGUAAAGAGCGUGUAGGCGGUCCGGUAAGUCGGCUGUGAAAGUCCAGGGCUCAACCCUGGGAUGCCGGUCGAUACUGCCGGACUAGAGUUCGGAAGAGGCGAGUGGAAUUCCCGGUGUAGCGGUGAAAUGCGCAGAUAUCGGGAGGAACACCUAUGGCGAAGGCAGCUCGCUGGGACGUUACUGACGCUGAGACGCGAAAGCGUGGGGAGCAAACAGG
This 253-nucleotide ribosomal RNA is filed under the name uncultured bacterium. RNAcentral's name for it is "partial 16S ribosomal RNA". It matches the Rfam family "Bacterial small subunit ribosomal RNA", at positions 524 to 776 of the family's 1533-position model. The record is from RNAcentral.